Molecule: ribosomal RNA, 253 nt
Filed under: uncultured bacterium
Lineage: Bacteria
Description: partial 16S ribosomal RNA
Rfam family: Bacterial small subunit ribosomal RNA
Source: RNAcentral
UACAGAGGCCUCGAGCGUUAGGCGGAAUCACUGGGCUUAAAGCGUGUGUAGGCGGCUUUGCAAGUCGGGUGUGAAAGCCCUCAGCUUAACUGAGGAAGUGCGCCCGAAACUGCAUGGCUUGAGUACCGGAGAGGAUGGUGGAAUUCCCGAAGUAGAGGUGAAAUUCGUAGAUAUCGGGAGGAACACCGGUGGCGAAGGCGACCAUCUGGACGGAUACUGACGCUGAGACGCGAAAGCGUGGGUAGCAAACAGG